RNAcentral lists this ribosomal RNA (443 nucleotides) under uncultured bacterium. Its description in RNAcentral is "bacterial SSU rRNA". It matches the Rfam family "Bacterial small subunit ribosomal RNA", at positions 28 to 451 of the family's 1533-position model. The record is from RNAcentral.
GAUGAACGCUGGCGGCGUGCUUAACACAUGCAAGUCGAACGAAGCACUUACGACAGAACUUUUCGGAGGGAAGAUGUUUGUGACUGAGUGGCGGACGGGUGAGUAACGCGUGGGUAACCUGCCUUGCAGAGGGGGACAACAGUUGGAAACGACUGCUAAUACCGCAUAAUAGAUCAAGACCGCAUGAUCAUGAUCUUAAAGAUUUAUCGCUGCAAGAUGGACCCGCGUCUGAUUAGCUAGUUGGUGGGGUAACGGCCUACCAAGGCAACGAUCAGUAGCCGGCUUGAGAGAGUGAACGGCCACAUUGGGACUGAGACACGGCCCAGACUCCUACGGGAGGCAGCAGUGGGGAAUAUUGCACAAUGGGGGAAACCCUGAUGCAGCGACGCCGCGUGAGUGAAGAAGUAUUUCGGUAUGUAAAGCUCUAUCAGCAGGGAAGAUAA